AACGAACGCUGGCGGCAUGCCUAACACAUGCAAGUCGAACGAGACCUUCGUGUCUAGUUGCGCACGGGUGCGUAACGCGUGGGAACCUGCCCUUAGGUUCGGAAUAACUCCCCUAAAGGGGUGCUAAUACCGGAUAAUCUCUUCGGACCAAAGAUUUAUCGCCUUUGGAUGGGCCCGCGUUGGUUUAGCUAGUUGGUAGGGUAAAAGCAUGCCAAGGCGACGAUCCAUAGCUGGUCUGAGAGGAUGAUCAGCCACACUGGGACUGAGACACGGCCCAGACUGCUACGGGAGGCAGCAGUGGGGAAUAUAGGAGAAUGGGCGAAAGCCUGAUCCAGCCAUGCCGCGUGAGUGAUGAAGGGCUUAGUGUUGUAAAGCUCUUUUACACGGGAUGAUAAUGACAGUACCGGGAGAAUAAGCUCCGGCUAACUCCGUG
Molecule: ribosomal RNA, 433 nt
Filed under: uncultured bacterium
Lineage: Bacteria
Description: partial 16S ribosomal RNA
Rfam family: Bacterial small subunit ribosomal RNA
Source: RNAcentral